AGCGCUCAGAAAAGACUUUAAGGAACUGUUCUUGUUUAGACUAGGAGUGAGACUAAAAGAAAAUAUAAUUAUAAACAUUGAGUAUAAUAAAAGUUGAAAUAAAGUGGUUAAUAGUCAAUUAUUUGUGUGUGCCCUUGGAGGGUGAAACAAAUUGGUAUAAUUUGUAGCACUUGAGAAGAAGCAUUAACAGAAAGGACAGGUAGCUAGUGGAAGACAACACCUCGGGAAGAUAUUGAUUCCACAUUAGCAGGAAAUUUAAGAACAGAUUAAAACAAACAUCAGGGAAGCCGCAAGUACACAGUGGGUGGAUACACCUAUACUGUCUCUGGUAGUAAAACAUUAUUUGCUGAACUUUGGGUACCUUCAAUUGAGAUGAUGCAACAGUAAUCUCAACUCUGCGCUGUCUGUGCAUUUCCCCUUAAAGAAACCAACAGCACUGUCCCAGCAUGUAAAUGGUGAGCACAAAGGGCAGAGCAGAACACCAGGAAGAAUUUUUUAGCCAAUCUGGAACAAGAGGAUAGGCACGUCUAGAGACAUCUUGAGUCUCUUGGAUUGCUAAUUUUCUAGUAUGAACUCUCAGAAGCAAUUCACGUUUUUAUUUUAGACCAUGAAAUGUGCAAUGAACUACUAGUUGAUAUAUUCUUGUACAUAACGAAAUGGCUAUUUCAUUAAUCAAAUUCAAAGUUUAGAUCCUCAAAACACUUCCUCAAUUAUUUUCCAACCUAUCAAUUUCCACCAGAAAAUGUACUGUGUACCAAGAUACCUGGUUCCAGAUCUCAAGUAUUUCUAAAUAUUAAUUUAAUCUUGAACUUAAACUUGUUUGUAUUAUCUGUAUAUAUCCUGCCCUUCUAUGUAGGACAGACAUUUCACAAAGAGGGAACAGGAUGACUUAAAAUCAUCCUCCAAACUAUCUGAUGCGGAUGAAGAUGUUUAUGAGACAGUAAGUUCUUCCACUCUGGAGGCUGCCCAAGAUUUGAGAAUCCUUCCUCCCAAACCUCAACAGGAUUCCGUAUAUGCAGAUAAACACUGUCUGAAGACAUCAGGUACUACCCACACAAGCAGUAACCCACCUCAGCCCCCUCAGUACUUGCCUAAACAUAAGUCUGCUCUAGAGGCGAGGAACGCACCAAAUGUUGAAGGAGAAAGAGUGAAAGUAUACGGACUCCAGCAACCCUUGCCUCCCCCACGGCCUCUGAAGACACUGCCAAAACAGUAUCAUCCACUUCCUCCAGCACCGAAGAUAAGCAGCCAUGUCCUCCACACCAGGGAAACACCCAGCCAGUCUCAUGCUUUUCCAGUAUCAGCAAAGCCCACAAGGCAUCCAUCUUUUAGAGACCUGAAUGAAGUAAGUAAUCAUCUUUGUAUAUAUUAUUACUGCCAAAACCAUACACUGUUCAGGGCUGCACAUCUUCUGGUGUAACAGUAUUUCAGUCAUGACUUAGCCUGGUAGGUAAAAAACACUAUAAUAACCAAAUUAUUUUUGGUCAUAAAUAUAUCUAUUCUUAAUGUAUAUAGUACUUUCAAAACUGCUAUGCUGUGAACGACAGUUAAAAUCCUGAAGUUCCUUACAGAAAUAAAAGCGCACACAGUGUUAAGCA
Molecule: long non-coding RNA, 1598 nt
Filed under: Phasianus colchicus (ring-necked pheasant)
Lineage: Eukaryota; Metazoa; Chordata; Aves; Galliformes; Phasianidae
Description: lncRNA (ENSPCLG00000001763.1)
Source: RNAcentral